Molecule: long non-coding RNA, 4759 nt
Organism: Gadus chalcogrammus (walleye pollock)
Lineage: Eukaryota; Metazoa; Chordata; Actinopteri; Gadiformes; Gadidae
Exons: 10
Source: RefSeq, a predicted model, not a curated record
CCAACUUGACAUCAGCUCACCUGCCGCAGCUCGCCUGCCAAGUGUUUUUCUUAAUUAGUUAAUUGGUUGCAUCUGGUGCGUUUCACUUAAGAGGGAGCCGGACAGUACGUUGGAGUUCUCCACUGGCAGUGUAGCGUCUCCCAAACGCGGUUGAAGACUUUUUGAAGUAAGGAGGAGCAUCUCAUCUGAACCUGAUGUCUAUCAUGGACAUGUAACUGCAGUUCUGUGAGUAUCCCAACUUAACCAUCAAGAUGAACUGCAAACUGUAAGUCAUACUUUCUCAUUACUCUUGGGCACAUUGAUGUACUUUGGCUUCCUGGCGAGUUAACCCUUUACCUGAAGGUUGAUCAGAGAAGUCAGGAUGUUUUAUUGGUUCAUGAGUUACUGAGGUGUUUGUUUUAUGUUGUUUUUAAUGGUUUGUUGAAACGGUUACAGGUUCUAAGUUAUCGUUGUAAACUGGAGUAAUGGGUUGGGUUCUGAUAUCUUCAGUCUUCUUUCCAGCUACUCUCCUGAGCUCUGCAUCUUCAUCACAGUGUUGCUUUACUGAUGAGGUUGUGGUCUGAGUGAGCAGAGGUGCAUACUGGGAUACAGGGCUGUCUGAUGUCUACAGGUCUGUAGACACGCCCCCUCAGGGGAAACCGAGUGUUUGAGAAACCGUCGUGACGUCAGUUACCUGGACUAGAAUGUUCUUUAAGAUGGAGACGGGAUUCAGAAGGAGAAACGCCAGGGGGAGAUGAGGGGGCUCCUCAUCUCAACGACUAAAACACAACUUCAGUCUGACACAGAGAACCAUGGAACACGUUCAACAGUCCCCUCCAGGCAUCGUGAAUCCUCAGGAACAGUUUCAUUUCCAAGAAGGUCUUAUUUGGGGCCAUCCCCAGAUGUAUCCUGCUCCUCAAGAGCCACCCCCCUCCACUGGGUUGUCUUCUGAACAGAUGACUUCCUUCCUGUCGUCAGGCUGACUAAAGCUGCACCGUUUGCAUCUGUGAAGGCCCCUCAUUCAGGAAACCACUGGACUACAAAGACAUGACUUCAGAGACGUUGAAUCAACCUUGGAGACGCCAAGAAUAAUCCAUCACCAAUGUGGGACGCCACUGAAGAAUGUUGUACAUAAUUUACGUCUCUGGAGACAUUGGUUGUUCUGUUCUGGGUGCCCUGGCAGGAGAGCUGGGGUUGGAUGAUGGAAUGUUAUUUGGCAUGAGGUUUUUACCCUGCAUGAUUGUUUGGCCUUUUAUGGAUCAGUGGUGUGUGUUGGUUUGACAUGAGAUGGAUGAUUUUUGAGCAUCUGGCAUGGGGUUCUACGUGUGUUUGGUUCCACCUGGCAUGGGGUUCCUCGUGCGUGUCCUGGGUUCUAUGUUUGUGUGUGUCCGGCUUGCUUUGACGGUGAUAAUGUUCAUAUGGGGGUCUGUGUGGUUGGCUUGGGAUAUUGGAAUGGUCAACUAAAUCAUACCUGAUGGACGGCCACACGUUUACUUAAGGGCCUCCAGUAGACAUGAAGAGCCCUGAGCGACGCUCCGGAGCGAGAUCCAACACACUGGGCAGGAAGGAGAGUAUCCAACUCAAGUGUAAAAGGAUGCAAGCGGCGUGUUCAGAUCAGUGACUUCAAACUAGGACUACACCAAUCAGGAUCAAUGGAGGAUGGACACCAAGGAAUUCCACAAGGAGAGUCUGACGUUGGAAAUGGACCUAAAUGGAUAUUCAAGAUGACCUUCAGACCUGUAAUGAGACGGCUCUUCCUACCUGGCUGGAUUGAUGGAGAGCCCUGUGGAUCUUGUCUCGCUCUCAGUUGCACGUCUUCGCAGGCUGAACUGUAUUUGUUUCGGACAGGACUAGCUGAACGAUUGGUUCUGAUUUAAGGGAACCAAUCGUGGGAACUCCAACUAGUGCGCUCUUCGAGCUGAAGUUGUGCUCUUCGGCUGAGGAGGUAAGGAAACCUUCACUGGGGCUUCAAGGUGUAAAGAGGAGGACUGUUUCAAAGUGUUCCAUGGUACUCUGAUGAAGACCGUUGUUGUGUUCCACUGGCUGAGGGGAAGAACCCUCACAUCUUCCUCUUGGCCUUUCUCCUCUGAGAAUCCUGCCGCCAUCUUGAAGGAUAUUCCAGCUCAUGUAACUGAUGUCACGACAGAUUCUCAAACACUUGGUUUCUCCUGAGGGGCGUGUCUAUAGAACUGAAGACGUCAGACAGCACUGUAUCCCAGCAUGCAUCUCUGCUCACUCAGACCACACCCCCAUGAGCAGGAUGCAACACUCUAGUGAUGGAGAUGCAGAGUUUUAUGAGUAACGAGGGAGAAGACAAAGGUGAUUGGAACACAAUGGCAUGUCAAGUCUGUAAAUCUUUAAACCAUGAAGAUGGUUGGAUAGUUCAGGAAUUGGGCUUUAUUUUAGUAUGGGCAGUCCUUAUUAAAUGAUUCCUUUGUUUUUAGGCAAGGAUUUGUUGUUGUGGGACGUACAUGGUAGUUUGGUUCUUCGUACGGUUUUGAUUGAUAUAACUUGUACACACUGGGUGCAUAAUAAUUUAAAGGUACACUGAAUAGUACUGUAGUAAUGACCAACAGCAACAAACAGAUCUCCUCAAGGUAAGUCUGUUGGCUGUAUUUUAAUGAAGACCAUCGCUGGACUUCAGGAUCUUCCUCCGUUCAGCUCAAGGUGAGGCGCUGGUUAUGUUUUUUCUUUGGUUGGUUCCGGCCGGAAUGUUCGUAUUCCAGUCGGACGGUUUGUGCUUCCCGCCGUGGAAGGUUUUGAGUGCGUUCACUUGAUUUAGUCCCAAUGGUUAGCAUAGAACGUUGUAGUCUUGACAACCAUUAGAAGCCACCUGGCAGUUCGUUGGACAGGAAUCUGGCUGAACGUUCUGGAUUAUAUUUGCGUAACCUCGAGCUGUUGCCAACGGAAACUAUUUUCAGUCGUUUCCAUUGGGAAUUGUUUUCCUCUUAUCUUAAACAACUUAAGUUUGAUAUUAAAUACAUACUGACACGUACAUCGUAUGAUAUGUUAGUUUCCGAAAGUUGCGGCGUACUUUUAACCACGUUAACGGGACUCUCGCUGCGUACAAAACGGCGUUUUACUUGCGGGCCCAUUUCUGUCAUCAGUGAAGGCUGAAAAACAUUUCAAGGUGGAAGGCAAUUUGACAUUUCUUCAACGGAACCCAGCACCUGAAUAUGGCGAGUAAAUUUGAUUUAAUAUCAAUACUGCUUAGUGUUCUUUGCUAUUUCAGCUUUUGUACGUUCUAAAUAUCUGCUGUCAUUAAUUGCCACAGAAGUUAAACCCUACCUAAUGGAAUGAUGUUAAACAAUUACUUUGGUGCUGAGUUACCAACUGGAUAAUAUCAAAGCUAAAAUAAUGGCCGUCCUUCCCACGUGUUCCAGUAGAAGAUACUCUAUCUGUACAAGGUUAAAAAGGUAACAUGUAGUUUGUCCCAAGGUGUCCACCUCCUCACCCAGAGCAAGACCUCCACCUCAUCACCCAGAGCCAGACCUCCACCUCCUCACAAGUCCUCCAGAACAGCUGAAAGGCGAGGCUGAGAGGCUGGGGACCGGAGGCUUGUGGUGCCAGGAUGGACCGGAGACUGAGGCUGGAGACCAGGGGCCUGCAGCACCGGAUCAGAGGGUAACCAUCGCCAAGCUCAUCUGAAGCACUAAAAUCCACGACCAGGAAUCCAUGGCUGAUGGAGGUGCCGUGCUGAAGGCCCUGCCUGGUGGAGGAGCUGAUGGAGGCCCUGCCUGGUGGAGGAGCUGAUGGAGGCCCUGCCUGGUGGAGGAGCUGUGCUGAUGGAGGCCCUGCCUGGUGGAGGAGCUGAUGGAGGCCGUGCUGAAGGCCCUGCCUGGUGGAGGAGCAGGUGGAGGCCCUGCCUGGUGAAGGACGUCUGUCGUGGGGACUCUGUCUCAGGAGAGCUGGUGGAGGAGCUGAGACGCUGGAGGAUGACUAGGAAUCGACCAACAAGGAUUCCUCAACGUGUUUCUGGAGCGGAGGUGAGCUGGUAGGGGAGCCGUGAAUCUGGAGGAUGACCAUCACUCUACCAACAAGGAUUGGAAACCAGGACUCUGGGUGAGGAGAGCUGAUGGAGGAGCCAAGACUCUGGAGGACGACAUCACUCUACAAACAAGGAUCCUCACCAGGAAUCUGGAGGACUGAUGGAGAAGCUGUACAUCUGGAAGGCGAAUCCUGAGGGCGACCAGGACUCUACCAUCAAGGAUUCCUCACACACCUGAGCUGAACCUCACCUGAUCCUGUUUGGUCGGGGGCAGACACACCUGAGCUGAACCCCAACUGAUCCUGACAUCCUGCUGGUCCCGUCUCCUCAGUUCAUCUUAGCCUCGUCCUCCAGAAGACCUGCUGAGCUCAGCGGUCUGAGGCUGAUGGAUCAAUGACCUCCAGUGGGAGUGAUCUUCUUGACCCCACAUGUAACCGUGUGCUUCCACACGCCUUACCCUCACGUCUGUCACUAACCUCACUACUUCACUACUCUCUACUGCUUCUUCUUCUUCUUCCUUCUCUGUGGUUCGAACCUUAACACGGAAGGCGCGUCUUCCUGCCCUCAGAGGGUUUAGCGUUAGGGUUGAGAGUCAGGGUUUAGAGUCAGGGACAGAGCUGGUCAGGGAGGACUGCUUUUACACAAACCUCUUCACUUGCUUUCGGAAUGGUGGUCACAUUUGGAAAAGAUUCAUUUGGGAAAAUGUUUUCCUCUGCUUUCCUUUGCAAAAAUAUGUAUUAAACUUCUGUCAAGUGUUUUUGUUUAUAUAAUAAAAUCCCACAUUGACUUCUG